This 2308-nucleotide ribosomal RNA is filed under the name metagenome. RNAcentral's name for it is "bacterial LSU rRNA". It matches the Rfam family "Bacterial large subunit ribosomal RNA", at positions 14 to 2324 of the family's 2925-position model. The record is from RNAcentral.
AGGGCAUGCGGCGGAUGCCUUGGCACUAGGAGGCGAUGAAAGACGUGAAAGGCUGCGAUAAGCUUCGGGGAACUGCCUAAUGAGUUUUGAUCCGGAGAUUUCUGAAUGGGGAAACCCCACACUUUGGUGUGAUCAUAAAGUGAAUACAUAGCUUUAUGAGGCGAACGCAGGGAACUGAAACAUCUAAGUACCUGUAGGAAAAUAAAUCAACCGAGAUUCCGAAAGUAGCGGCGAGCGAAAUCGGACUAGCCUAAACCUAUUCCAUUUUUGGAUUAGGGGUUGCGGGGCGUACAUAAUGGACCUGGAUGGGUAAGGGAAACUUCUGGAAAGUUGUACCAUAGAGAGUGAUAGUCUCGUACCUGAAAUUCUGAAAGGCCUGUACUAACCCCAAGUAGGGCGGGACACGUGUUAUCCUGUCUGAAUCUGGGAGGACCAUCUUCCAAGGCUAAAUACUACCUNNUGACCGAUAGUGUAUAAGUACCGUGAGGGAAAGGUGAAAAGAACCCCGUUGAGGGGAGUGAAAUAGACCCUGAAACCGCAUGCCUACAAGCAGUCGGAGCGUAAGUGACGGCGUGCCUUUUGCAUGAGCUAGCGAGUUAAUGUAGCGUGCAAGAUUAAGGUAUUCAGUACCGUAGUCGUAGUGAGAGCGAGGCUUAAUAGGCCGACUAAGUACGUUGCAUUAGACCCGAAACCCGGUGAUCUAUCCAUGAGCAGGUUGAAGCUGAGGUAACACUUAGUGGAGGACCGAACCCGUUGAAGUUGAAAAUUCUUGGGAUGACUUGUGGAUCGGAGUGAAAGGCUAAUCAAACCGGGUGAUAGCUGGUUCUCCUCGAAAUAUAUUUAGGUAUAGCGUCUAGUGUUUCCUAACGGGGGUAAAGCACUGAUUGGGCUAGGGGUCCUACCAGAUUACCAAACCCACUCAAACUCUGAAUACCGUUACGGUUAAGCUAGGCAGUCAGUCAUAUGGUGAUAAGGUCGUAUGACGAAAGGGAAAGAGCCCAGACCAUCAGCUAAGGUCCCAAAGACUACACUAAGUGGAAAACGAUGUGGGAAUGCGUAGACAGCCAGGAGGUUGGCUUAGAAGCAGCCACCCUUUAAAGAAAGCGUAACAGCUCACUGGUCAAGUGUUCCUGCGCGGAAGAUUUAACGGGGCUUAAGUGUAGCACCGAAGCUAUGGACUCGAAAGAGUGGUAGAGGAGCAUUGUAGCAACCGCUGAAGGUGUCAGGUGACUGAUGCUGGAGGAACUACAAGCGCAUAUGCUAGCAUUAGUAGCGAUAAGGGAAGUGAGAANCUUNNNCGCCGNAANCCNAAGGUUUCCUGGGNNAGGNUNNUCCNCCCAGGGUUAGUCGGUACCUAAGGCGAGGCCGAANGGCGUAGUCGAUGGAUAACGGGUUAAUAUUCCCGUACUACUUUUAAAUCGUUAUUAGCGAUGGGGUGACGCAGGAGGAUAGAUCAGCUGCUUAUUGGAUUGUAGUCUAAGUAUGUAGGAGGAAGAAAUUGGCAAAUCCGUUUCUUCAUUACUCUGAGAUACGAAUGCGACCUGCUUGCAGGGAAGUGAUUGAUUCCACGCUGACAAGAAAAACCUCUAGUGAGAUUUAAGGGUAACCGUACUAAAACCAACACAGGUAGAUGGGUAGAGAAUACCAAGGCGCGCGGGAUAACUCUCGUUAAGGAACUCGGCAAAUUAGCCUCGUAACUUCGGGAUAAGAGGUGCCCCAUUAUUGUGAAAGCCAUUCGGCUGGAGCAUGAAGGGGUUGCAGUGAAAUGGCUCAAGCGACUGUUUACCAAAAACACAGGUCUCUGCUAAACCGUAAGGUGAUGUAUAGGGGCUGACGCCUGCCCAGUGCUGGAAGGUUAAAGGGAGGUGUUCGUUCUUCGGAACAAAGCAUUGAACUGAAGCCCCAGNUGAACGGCGGCCGUAACUAUAACGGUCCUAAGGUAGCGAAAUUCCUUGUCAGGUAAGUUCUGACCCGCACGAAAGGCGUAACGAAUUGAGCACUGUCUCAACGAGAGACCCGGUGAAAUUGAAGUGUCCGUGAAGAUACGGACUACCUAUAGCAAGACAGAAAGACCCCGUGGAGCUUUACUGUAACUUGGCUUUGGGCUUUGGAAUAAUUUGUGCAGGAUAGGUGGGAGACUUUGAAGCAUAAUCGUCAGAUUAUGUGGAGUCACUGGUGAGAUACCACCCUUAUUAUUUUGAAGUCCUAACUACGUCCCGUAAUCCGGGAAUAGGACAUAGCCUGGUGGGCAGUUUGACUGGGGCGGUCGCCUCCUAAAAGGUAACGGAGGCGCUCAAAGGUUCCCUCA